CCUACGGGAGGCAGCAGUAGGGCAUAUUGCUCAAUGGGGGAAACCCUGACGCAGCAACGCCGCGUGUAUGAUGAAGGUUUUCGGAUUGUACACUCCUUUUGUUAGAGAAGAUAAUGACGGUAUCUAACGAAUAAGCAACGGCUAACUCCGUGCAAGCAGCCGCGGUAAUACGGAGGGUGCAAGCGUUACUCGGAAUCACUGGGCGUAAGGAGCACGUAGGCGGGAUAGCAAGUCAGAUGUGAAAUCCUAUGGCUAAACCAUAGAACUGAAUUUGAAACUGUUCUUCUAGAGUAUGGGAGAGGGAGGUAGAAUUCUUGGUGUAGGGGUAAAAUCCGUAGAGAUCAAGAGGAAUACUCAGUGCGAAGGCGACCUGCUAGAACAUAACUGACGCUGAUGCGCGAAAGCGUGGGGAGCAAACAGGAUUAGAUACCCCAGUAGUC
This 440-nucleotide ribosomal RNA is filed under the name uncultured bacterium. Its description in RNAcentral is "partial 16S ribosomal RNA". It matches the Rfam family "Bacterial small subunit ribosomal RNA", at positions 338 to 795 of the family's 1533-position model. The record is from RNAcentral.